UUUCGUGUACCCUGACGAGGCGGCGACGACCCAGGCCCAACAAGGAGGCGAGGGCAAGUGACCUAAGGAGAAGCCAGAUGCGCCGCCCGCCGCCAAACCACCAGGCACCAAUCCAAGCCUUCUCCAGGUCACCGGCUUGCCAUCGGACAUCGCCUGGACUCCUCAUCACCUCGUCGCCUUUGCCGGGUGUCGGGUCAUCGCAUCGGACGGCACGUCGCAGGCGCCGGCGAGGGGCUGGGGCGGGGCUGCAAUGGGAAGGAGAGGCUGAGUCAGCGGAGCGCAGGGAGGAAAAAAAUCGCCGGCGCGCGGAGGGAGAAGAAAUUUCGGCGGCGCGCGAACGGAGUAAAGCAGCAGAGGUCAGAGGAGGAUUAGUUUGCUUCCCAAUCGUACCCCCGUACGAUGGAGGGAUGGAUUUAAUCCUGUAUCAUCCGGUACUUGGUAUCCCCGGUACGACAUGCUGGACGGGAGCAAACCUCCAAAAAAAUUCGACUGAUGAAUGGUAUAGCUGUCAACUGAUAAUAAAAGAACUAAACACAAGCACUGAAACGCACCAUUUCUUCAUGACACA
Molecule: long non-coding RNA, 568 nt
Organism: Oryza brachyantha (malo sina)
Lineage: Eukaryota; Viridiplantae; Streptophyta; Magnoliopsida; Poales; Poaceae
Exons: 2
Source: RefSeq, a predicted model, not a curated record